GAUUAACGCUGGCGGCAUGCCUUAUGCAUGCAAGUCGAACGGCAGCGGGUGUAGUAGUAAUACUACAUGCCGGCGAGUGGCGGACGGGUGAGUAAAGCGUAGGAAUCUACCUAAUAGACUGGGACAACUUGGGGAAACUCGAGCUAAUACCGGAUAAUCUCUAAGGAGGAAAGGAUGGGACUUGAAAGAGCCAUUCGCUAAUAGAUGAGCCUAUGUCGGAUUAGCUAGUUGGUGGGGUAAAGGCCUACCAAGGCGAUGAUCUAUAGCUGGUCUGAGAGGAUGAACAGCCACACUGGGACUGAGACACGGCCCAGACUCCUACGGGAGGCAGCAGUGGGGAAUAUUGGACAAUGGGGGAAACCCUGAUCCAGCGAUGCCGCGUGUGCGAAGAAGGCCUGCGGGUUGUAAAGCACUUUGGUUGGGGAAGAAGGGUGGUAGAUGAAUAAUUUGCCAACUUGACGUUACCCAAAGAACAAGCACCGGCUAACUCUGUGCCAGCCGCCGCCGUAA
This 510-nucleotide ribosomal RNA is filed under the name uncultured bacterium. RNAcentral's name for it is "partial 16S ribosomal RNA". It matches the Rfam family "Bacterial small subunit ribosomal RNA", at positions 28 to 523 of the family's 1533-position model. The record is from RNAcentral.